AUGAAAUUCACUGAGGAUGGAGCCUCCACUGCUGUAGAACUGAGAUGCUCCAUUGACAGUAACCCUGCUGCCCACAGCUACCACGGACAGCACGACAAAGGGUCUCAGCUCACCACGGGACCAUACACACUUAACCCUCUACUGCACUGCAAUCAACUCAGAGACCCCCCUGAGAUCAAAGUGGACUCUGCCUGCACUUCAGACGUUUACUUGUCUGUGCAUUGUGGAUUCGGAGCCCACCGGAACCGUGGAGAGGUCUCAUCCAGCUGGACCCCUGCCCAAUACCAGGGUGAGAGGCAUGAGUCAGUCACCAUGGUGACCCUACAGAGGGCACUAGGCUUCUCACAGACCGUCCACUGCCAUGCCAACAAGGCACAGGGCAAUGCCACCUUGUCCUUCACUGUGCCCACAAAUGAUAAGGGAAACAGUGGGUGCAUUUGUGGUGGUAGUAAUAUUAAUUCCCAUGUCAGCUUGCCUGUUGACCAAGAAGGGGUAAGUUACUCUUUUAUUUAUUUUUGGACGGAGUUACGUAGGUUUUUAUUUGGUUUUAGCGGUUGUGUUCUGUUUUGAUAACUUACCAUUAUUUUUUACAUCAGUGAAAGGAGUUGUAGUGACCAGCCAAUAACCAGUAUGUAGGACAUGGAUGCAUCCAAGUGUGCUUCCUCAGAUCCCUCAAUGUGAUCAUGACCGUGGGUAGAUAUCUAGGGGUAGGAGUGAUUUAAAAAACAAAAUUAAACAGCUAUUUUGGUCCCCUCAUACAGAAGUAAUGAAGGCCCAGUGCACUACUUUUGUGACAAUUAAAAAUAUACCGUACCAGUCGAAAGUUUGGACACACCUACUCAUUCAAGGGUUUUUCUUUAUUUGUACUAUUUUCUACAUUGUAGAAUAAUAGUGAAGACAUCAAAACUAUGAAAUAGCACAUAUGGAAUCAUGUAGUAACCAAAAAAAGUGUUAAAGAAAUCAAAAUAUAUUGUAUAUUUUAGUUCUUCAAAGUAGCCACCCUGUGCCUUGAUGACAGCUUUGAACACUCUUGGCAUACUCUCAACCAGCUUAACCGAGAAUGCUUUUCCAACAGUCUUGAAGGAGUUCCCACAAAUGCUGGGCACUUCUUGGCUGCUUUUCCUUCACUCUGCGGUCCAACUCAUCCCAAACCAUCUUAAUUGGGUUGAGGUUGGGUGAUUGUGGAGGCCAGGUCAUCUUCCACUUUAUGGCAGGAUUGUUUUAGGUGUCUAGAGUAUAUCUGGAGAGAGGGAGAGAGCACUACAAUAUUUAGCUUUUGUUGUCAUAUUGAUGUGUCUUUCUCAUGGCUACUCAUGUAUUUCCAUGGAAAUAUAAAGUUUAUGUGGAAAGUAAUAAAUAUGUAUUUUUAAUAGCAUUCAUGAUUUGCGUACAUGUAAUAUACUAACUAUUACUCUUGUUAAAAAUAUGAAAUGGUAUUCAAUUUGGGGAAGAGCACAUUAUGACUUGUUUAGGACUCAAACUUUAGGACUUGAGACUUGGCUCAGACUUGCCUGUCUUGACUUGGGACUUGAGUGCUAAGACUUGAGACUUACUUGUGACUUGUAAAACAAUGACUUGGUCCCACCUCUGCAAACUACUAUACCAACGAUCAAAUAUAUGGCAACAUGGAGGUAUGUACUGUAGGCAUACUGUAGACAUUUACAGUAGAUAUCUGAGAUCUGAGAAGAACAUUGCCCUAAGUAGAAAGGAUAUAAAAAACAAUGAAGGUGUUGUUGAUGAUAGUAUCUCUGAUCUGGUUUCCUGUAGACUGAAGAGGAUAGCAACCAAUACAAGUGUGUGAACAUAACAGGAAUCAUGUGGGAGUCAGCUGGCUCAGACGCCAUGGUACUCAGUCUGUCAAAGGUUCCAGUAAAAUAUUAACAUUUUAACCCAACGUAGCAGAGCUGGUGACUGCUUAUAUUUGUUAGCUUUAUGUAGCUUUAUGGUUCUAAAGGCUAAAUAAAAUGGACACAUUCUUAUUUGGGUUCUGCCUUUAGUUUUAUGGCUUUUACGAGGUGUUUGUUUUUAUCUAUGGCUUUGGGUGAUUCAGAGUAAACCUGAUAUGAAUGGUUAUACAGGUAUAAUAGUUGAGAAUUGUAUAUACAAUAUAUUAUUGUUUUUGUGUUGCUCCUUUCAACUGUGUGUACUUAUGUGUAACUGACACUCAGGUCAACACAGUGCUUCUGUUGUCCACUUGAAUGUACAGACAGAUACAAUAUAGUGUAAUUUGUCAAAACAGGCCAUAUUGAGAUAUACUGUAUGCACUUGAGAUAGAGAAUUCAAAGAUUAUAAAGUAAAGUACCUUAAAAUCAUCUCCAGAUCAGUGGAAAUAUGAACAUGUGUAAAUGUUCAACAACAGUGAUCAAAUAAAAAUAUAUGUGUUUCAUUGCAUUUUAAUAUAGGCUGUAAUGUUUGUUUCUAAAUCUCCAAAUCUACUUCUGAGUUAUUUUUCAUCCUUUUUCUAUCACAGUUUAUUUUUUUACUGGGACACUGAUCCACAUUGAUUUGCUGUGUGGGGAAAAAUGAACAUAUUGUCAUAAAUCAACUUCAUAAAUCAACUUAAUGUACUGAAAGAAUGUAAAUAUCGAAGUAAUUUUGUCACCAAUGAGCUCUGUAAAUCAUAGUCUCCUCCUGUUGGUUAGUAGAAGGUAUUACAUCAUAUGUUUUUUAUUUAACCUUUAUUUAACUAGUAGGCAAGUCAGUUAAGAACAAAUUCUUAUUUACAAUGACGGCCUACCCCAGCCAAACCCAGACGAUGCUGGGCCAAUUAUGCGCCACCCUAUGGGACUCCCAAUCAC
RNAcentral lists this long non-coding RNA (2798 nucleotides) under Salmo trutta (river trout). RNAcentral describes it as "lncRNA (ENSSTUG00000010252.1)". The record is from RNAcentral. Lineage: Eukaryota; Metazoa; Chordata; Actinopteri; Salmoniformes; Salmonidae.